This 1435-nucleotide ribosomal RNA is filed under the name Acaulospora sp. 2 SL-2017. RNAcentral's name for it is "eukaryotic LSU rRNA". The stretch from base 680 to 1435 matches the Rfam family "Eukaryotic large subunit ribosomal RNA", at positions 1 to 673 of the family's 3401-position model. Lineage: Eukaryota; Fungi; Glomeromycota; Glomeromycetes; Diversisporales; Acaulosporaceae. The record is from RNAcentral.
CCUAGUAAGCGUGAGUCAUCAGCUCACGUUGAUUACGUCCCUGCCCUUUGUACACACCGCCCGUCGCUACUACCGAUUGAAUGGCUUAGUGAGACUCUCGGAUUGGUGACUGGAGAUCGGCAACGGUCCCUUUUCGCUGAAAAGUUUGUCAAACUUGGUCAUUUAGAGGAAGUAAAAGUCGUAACAAGGUUUCCGUAGGUGAACCUGCGGAAGGAUCAUUAGAAUUCUGGGAAAUUUAUUUUCCUUGACACUUAUUCAAAAAAUUCCAAUCUAAAUUUUUAUUUAAAAUCGAAAACUUGAAUAUAAGAUAACUUUCAACAACGGAUCUCUUGGCUCUUGCAUCGAUGAAGAACGCAGCGAAAUGCGAUAAGUAGUGUGAAUUGCAGAAUUCCGUGAAUCAUCAAAUCUUUGAACGCAAAUUGCACUUCUUGGUAUUCCGAGGAGUAUACUUGCUUGAGGGUUGGUCCACCAAAAAAUCGUGAAAUAAAUUUUCGCGGAUCUGGGUUUUCCGAGUUUUUUAGACUCCGGUAACCUUAAAUUUAUCCUAACAAUCUUUAGGUAUAUUAGAAAUGUUUUACCUUACAUGUUGUAAGUUCAUCGAUAAUCAUACCAGUUGUUAAGUCGCGUUGUCCGCCUAGCAUCUUUCGAUUAGGCGAGAUAAUCCAAUCAUUCUUUAUUCCUACCUCAAGUCAAGUAAGGAUACCCGCUGAACUUAAGCAUAUCAAUAAGCGGAGGAAAAGAAACUAACUAGGAUUCCCUUAGUAACGGCGAGUGAACUGGGAAAAGCUCAAAUUUUAAAUCACCUCGGUGAAUUGUAAUUUGAAGAGUGUGCAUUGACAGUUCCUGUUUAAUCCAAGUCCUCUGGGAUGAGGUAUCAUAGAGGGUGAGAAUCCCGUCCGUGAUUAAACCGGAAUUGCACUAAUGCAUGCUCCAAGAGUCGAGUUGUUUGGGAUUGCAGCUCAAAAUGGGUGGUAAAUUUCACCUAAGGCUAAAUAUAUGCAAGAGACCGAUAGCGAACAAGUACCGUGAGGGAAAGAUGAAAAGAACUUUGAAAAGAGAGUUAAACAGUACGUGAAAUUGUUGAAAGGGAAACGAUUGAAGUCAGUCAUGCUAGUAGGGAAUCAACUUGGUGGUUUUCUUCCUUGUGUACUUCCUUGCUCGGCAGGUUAGCAUCAAUUUUGGUUGUCAUCAAAUAAUUGGGGGAAUGUGUCUUUCUUCGGAAAGUGUUUAUAGACCCUGGUUGAUGUGGCGACUGGGAUUGAGGAUUGCAGCGGAUGCCUUUGGCUAGUCACCUGUCUUCUGGCGGUCACCUCGCUUUCGACAGCUUGCUAACGAUGGUGAGAUUUGGCGGUCUAGGAUUCAGAGUGAACAUAAAUUCGCUAAGGAUGCUGACGUAAUGGCUUUAAACGACCCGUCUUGAACACGGACCAAGGAG